UACAGAGGGGGCAAGCGUUGUUCGGAAUUACUGGGCGUAAAGGGCGCGUAGGCGGCCCGCUAAGUCGAACGUGAAAUCCCCGAGCUCAACUCGGGAACUGCGUCCGAUACUGGUGGGCUUGAAUCCGGGAGAGGGAUGCGGAAUUCCAGGUGUAGCGGUGAAAUGCGUAGAUAUCUGGAGGAACACCGGUGGCGAAGGCGGCAUCCUGGACCGGCAUUGACGCUGAGGCGCGAAAGCCAGGGGAGCGAACGGG
RNAcentral lists this ribosomal RNA (253 nucleotides) under uncultured bacterium. RNAcentral describes it as "partial 16S ribosomal RNA". It matches the Rfam family "Bacterial small subunit ribosomal RNA", at positions 524 to 776 of the family's 1533-position model. The record is from RNAcentral.